UGCCCAGCAACUCCCAUCCCUACCUCCUCGAGGUACCGGCCGGAAACUAUGAGCAACCUUAGGGAAGAUCGGG
Aedes albopictus (Asian tiger mosquito) is the source of this 73-nucleotide non-coding RNA. The record is from Rfam. Lineage: Eukaryota; Metazoa; Arthropoda; Insecta; Diptera; Culicidae.